GCUUGUCGGCAAUACCCGGAUGGAAGGGUUAUGGCCGCCAUCGGGGACUCGCCCGCCAUGGAGCUCACGCCAGAUAUCAUCUCUUCUUUUGAUCAGUGUUCCUGAUUGUGGCUUUUUUUCAAGCAUUGUAUUGUGUGCCUUUUGUUCCUUGAAGAAGAGGGGUUACUAAAGAUUGACAUACUGGAGUAUAGUCUGUCUUUAAAUAAUGCUCUGUCCUCCCUCUUCACCUCUCCCAC
Gracilinanus agilis (Agile Gracile Mouse Opossum) is the source of this 236-nucleotide long non-coding RNA. RefSeq lists it as uncharacterized. NCBI's taxonomy places the organism in Eukaryota, Metazoa, Chordata, Mammalia, Didelphimorphia, Didelphidae. The transcript is spliced from 3 exons. The record is from RefSeq and is a predicted model, not a curated record.